Molecule: long non-coding RNA, 7769 nt
Organism: Hippopotamus amphibius kiboko
Lineage: Eukaryota; Metazoa; Chordata; Mammalia; Artiodactyla; Hippopotamidae
Exons: 5
Source: RefSeq, a predicted model, not a curated record
UCUUAAACCUCGGCCGCGCUCGUGCGCACGCCCGGCUCGUGCGCACCUGCCCGGCGCCGCCCCCGGGGCGCUGGCCGCAUCGCUCUCACCUGCGCAGGUCGCGGGGCCGCUGGGAGGACGCCGCGGAGAGCCCGGAGCGAGGCCGGGGUGGGGCGUGCCCGGCCGGGGCCGGAGACCAGGAGGGGCUGGUGCGAACCGGCAGGAGCCCGCUGGACGCCGACGGGUCCCCGCUGCCCCCCGUGCAGGGCCGGUGCCGCUCUGGUCCCGUCCCGGUUCCUGGUGACACACGGGAGGCGGAUGGAUGACCGUUCUGUCCAAGGUGACCCGUGAGAGCGAGCCGUUUGCAGUCUGCGGAACGCACAAGCCAUGUCUUAUCACGAGGGUGUCAGUGAACUGACGCCUGUCUCCUGACAGGGAUCAGCCAAUCUCCAGGCUGUAACCCGUGGUCCUUCACGUCUUCGUCUCCUGGGAGCUCACUGUGGAAGGAACCCUGCAGACAGAAAGGAGUAAGACAGCAGGAAUCACGGUAAAAGUGGAGACAAGUUCAGAGUGUUGGUGGAGCUCUGAAACCGAUUAGGAAGUGAGUGGGAAGAGUCAGAGCAGAUAUCCAGAGGCCACAGGAUCCUGUUCAAACCUCCGAUGACUUGAGUCCAGUCCUCCAUUGCUGUCAGACUCACCCAUCCUCCUGCACAUGUUCAGAUGUUUCAGGACUCUGUGGUCUUUGAGGACGUGGCUGUGAACUUCAACCCGGAGGAGUGGGCUUUGCUGGACCCGGUUCAGAGACAUGAUGCUGGACACCCUCAGAAAUCUGGCCUUCGUGGGUGAGGACAGCUUCACGCCCACACUUGUUCCCUAAAGGACGAAGCAUUUCUCAUCGGUGUUGUUGCAAGAUUCGAAAUGUGGAAAAGGAGUACACUGGUAAAUAAGACAGAUGUUGUCACAGCCAUCCUGGACCUAGAAUCUAAUAACCUUCCCAGGACAAUGGAGACUUUAUUUUUGUCUUGGUUUAAAAGAUUGGAAGCUCCUUUAAUGUCAUUGGUGCGGGUACAGCCUUCAUGGGUCAUUUUGGUUCCCAGAGGGAGGGUCCUGGUUUGGAAUGCUGUGAUGGUCUUCAGUGACUUGCCUGACUUUUGACCCCUUGUGCCUGUCUGCUGAAGUCCUGAAAGUGCUGAAGUCCUCAACGUCUGUCUUUGCUCAUGGUGCCUUAUUCCUGAAUAUAUUUAUGCACUUUUCUGUUGUUUCAGAUUAUGAGACACUGUUUAAAGCUAGUGCGUCAGUGUCUCAGCAGGAUACAUGUGAGGAAAAAAUAUCUGACAAACAGAAAAUAGCAAAACUCACAAAAUAUAACUCUUGUGCCUACAUUUUAAGAAAAAGUUGGGACAAUCACAGCAUUGAAGAUCAGCAGAAAAACCCAGGGCAGACACCUGAGAAAUCACAAUGUGGAUAGAGUCUGUGAAUCUAAUGAAGGAAAUCAGUGUGGAGAAACCUGUAGUCACAUUCCCAAUCUUAAUCUGUGCAAGAGUGUUUAUACCAGAGGAAAACCAUAUGAAUGCAUCAAAUGUAGAAAAGAUUUCAUGAAUCUUUCUUCCUUUAAGGGGCAUGUCAGAUCUCACCACAGACAAAAACCCUAUCAGUGCCAGGAAUGCAAGCAGACCUGCAUUUGUCCCACACACCUAAGAACUCACACUAGAGACAAGCCCUAUGGAUGUACAUUAUGUGGGAAAACCUUUAUUUCCCCUCGCUCGACCAGCACAUCCUGGUUCACAAGAGAGAGAGAAAUGCAGGCAGCGUGGGAAAACCUUCGGAGAGUUCUCUAGUCUUACUAGACACGUGCAAACGCAUGAUAGGGAGAAGCCAUAUAAAUGUAAGGAGUGUGGGAAAGCUUUCGUUUAUCCCUCACUGUUUCAAGGACGUAUGAUAAUAUACAGUGGGGAGAAGCCCUACAGUUGUAAGGAACGUGGGAAAGCCUAUCAUUAUCUGCAAUCUUUUAAAAGACAUGAAAAGGCUCACACUGGAGAGAAACCCUAUGAAUGCAAGGAAUGUGACAAAGCAUUCCUUUGGCUUGAAAGCUUUUGAGCACACAUGAGAAUACACACUGGAGAGAAACUCUAUAACUGUGAAGACUGUGGGAAUGCUUACACUUCUCUCAAAUACUUUCAAGCCCAUGUGCGAACUCAUACUGGAGAGAAGCCUUACAAAUAAAAACACUGUGGGAAACCCUUCAACUGGAAGUCAUCCUUAUGGUACCACCUGAGGACACACACUGGGGAGAAACAUUAUGAAUGUAAACCGUCUACCGUCGGCACUCAGCCUUACAGAACCACAUGAGGAUGCACACUGGAUAGCAACGCAAUGACUGCAAAGGAAUCCAAACACAACACUACAGUCAGUCAUCAAAUCACAAGAGAACCAAAGAGAAAAGGAAGAAAAAAGACCUACAAAAACAAAUCCAAGACAAUGAACAAAAUGGCAGGAAGAACAUACAUAUCAAAAAUUACCUUAAACGUAAAUGGCUUAAAUGCUCCAACCAAAAGACACAGAUGGCUGAAUGGAUACAAAAACAAGACUCGUAUAUACACCAUCUACAAGAGAUGCACUUCAGAUCUAGGGACACAUACAGACUGAAAGUGAGGGGAUGGAUAAAGGUAUUCCAUAUGAAUGAAAAUUAAAAGAAAGCUGGAACAGCAAUACUCAUAUCAGAUAAAACAGUCUUUAAAAUAAAGACUAUUACAAGAGACAAGGAAGGACACUACAUAAUGAUCAAGGGAUCAAUCCAAGAAGAAGAUAUAACAAUUGUAAAUAUCUAUGCACCCAACAUAGGAGCCCCUCAAUACAUAAGGCAGAUGCCAACCACCAUAAAAGGGAGAAAUCAACAGUAACACAAUAAUAGCAGGGGACUUUAACACCCCAUUUUGAUCAAUGAACAGAUCAUCCAGAGAGAAAAUGAGGAAAUACAGGCCUUAAAUGACACAUUACACCAGAUGGACUUAAUUGACAUAAAGCAUUCCAUCCGAAAGCAGCAGAAUGCACUUUCUUCUCAAGUGCACAUAGAACAUUCUCCAGGAUUGACCACAUGCUGGACCACUAAAUGAGCCUCAGGAAAUUUAAGAGAAUUGAAAUCAUAUCAAGCAUCUUUUCUGACCAUAACGCUAUGAGAUUAGAAAUCAAGAAAAAAACUGUUAAAAAAUACAAACAUGUGAAGCUUAAACAAUAUGCUACCAAACAGCGAAUGGACUACUGAAGAAAUCAAAGAGGAAAUCAAAAAAUACCUAGAGGCAAAUGAAAACACGAUUCAAAGCCUAUUGGAUGCAGCAAAAACCAUUCUAAGAGGGAAAUUUAUAGCAAUACAAUCGUACCUCAGGAAACAAGAAAAAUCUCAAGUAACCUAAUUUUACAGCUAAAGCCACUAGAGAAAGAACAUACAACACCAAAAGUUAGUAAAAAGAAAGAAAUCAUAAAGAUCAGAGCAAAAAUAAUGAAGAGACAAAGAAAACAAUAGAAAAUAUCAAUGAAACUAAAAGCUGGUUCUUUGAAAAGAUAAACAAAAUUGAUAAACCUUUAGCCAGACUCAUCAAGAAAAAAAAGGAAGAGGGCUCAAAUCAUUAAAAUCAGAAAUGAAAAAGGAGAAGUUACAAUGGACACCACAGAAAUACAAAGGAUCAUAGGCGACUACUACAAGCUACUAUAUGCCAAUCAAAUGGACAAACUAGAAGAAAAGGACAAAUUCUCAGGUACGCUUUCUUAAGACUGAAUCAGGAAGAAAUAGAAGAUAUGAAUAGACCUAUCAAAAGUAACUGAAAUUCAAACUGUGAUUUAAAAACUCCCAACAGGGAAUUCCCUGGUGGUCCAGUGAUUAGGACUCCAUGCUUCCAUUGCAGGGGACACAGGUUCAAUCCCUGGUCCAGGAACUGAGAUCCCACAUGCUGAGCAGUACAGCCAAAAAACAUUAAAAAAGAAAAGAACUCUCAACAAACAGAAGUCCAGGACAAGAUGGCUUCACAGGCAAAUUCUAUCAAACAUUUUGAAAAGAGUUAAUGUCUAUGCUUCUGAAACUACUGCAAAACAUUGCUGAGGAAGGGACACUCCUAAACUCAUUCUGUCAGGCAGCUGUCCCCAACACCAGACAAAGAUACAACAAGAGAAAAUUACAGGCCAAUAUCACUGUUGAACACAGACACAAAAAUCCUCAAUGAAAUAUUAGCAAACCGAAUCCAGCAAUACAUUAAAAGGAUCACACACCAUGAUCAAGUGGGAUUUAUCCCAAGGAUGCAAAGAUCUUUCAAUAUCCACAAAUCACUGUGAUACACCACAUCAACAAAGUGAAGAAUAAAAACCAUAUGAUCAUCUCAACAGAUGCAGAAAAAGCUUUUGACAAAAUUCAACACCAAUUUAUGAUAAAAACUCUCCAGAAAGUGGAUGUGGAGGAAACAUACCUCAACAUAAUAAAGGCCAUUUAUGACAGAUCUACAGCUUACAUACUCAACAGUGAAAAGCUGAAAGCAUUUCCUCUAAGAUCAGGAACAUGACAAGGAUGUCCACUCUCACCACUUUUAUUCAACAUAGUUUUGGAAGUCCUAGCCAUGGCAAUCAGAAUAAAAAGAAAUAAGAGGAAUCAAACUUGGAAAAGAAGAACUAAAACCCAACUGUUUACAGAUAACAUGAGACUAUACAUAGAAAAUUGUAAAGAUGCUACCAGAAAACUACUAAAGCUCAAUGAUGAGUUUGUUAAAGUUGCAGGAUACAAAAUUAAUACAUAGAAAUCUGUUGCAUUUCUAUAUACUAACAAUGAGAGAUCAUAAAGAGGAAUUAAAGAAGCAACCCCAUUAACCAUCGCAUCAAGAAUAAAAUACCUAGAAAUAAACUUACCUAAGGAGGCAAAAGACCUAUACUCCAAAAACUUUAUAAGACACUGAUGAAAGAAAUCAAAGAUGACAAAAAUGGACAUAAAGAUACACCAUGUUUUUGGACUGGAAGAAUCAAUAUUUUCAAAAGGCAAUCUACAGAUUCACUGCAAUCCCUAUCAAAUCACAAAUGACAUUCACAGAACUAAAAGAAAAUAUUUUUAAAUUCAGAUGGAGACACAAAAGACCCCAAAUUGACAAUCUUGAGAAAGAAAAUCAGAGCUGGAAGAAUUGGGCUCCCUGACUUCAGACUAUACUACAAAGCUGUGGUCAUCAAGACAGUAUGGUACUGGCACAAAAACAGAAAUAUAGAUCAAUGGGACAGGAUGGAAAGCCCAAAAAUAAAGCCAUGCACUUAUGGCUAAAUAAUCUAUGACAGAGGCAAGAAUAUGCAGUGGAGAAAAGACAGUCUCUUCAAUGAGUGGUGCUGGGAAAACUGGACUUCUACCUAUAAAAGAAUCAAAUUAGAACAUUCUCUAACAUCAUAUACAAAAUAAACUCAAAAUGGAUUUGGGGACUUCCUAGGUGGCGCAGUGGUUAAGAAUCCGCCUGCCAAUGCAGGGGACAUGGGUUUGAUCCCUGCCCCAGGAAGAUCCCACAUGCCAUGGAGCAACUAAGCCCAUGCGCCACAACUAUUGAGCCUGUGCCCUAGAGCCCAUGAGCCACAACUAUUGAAGCCCACACGCCUAGAGCCUGUGCUCCACAGCAAGAGAAGCCACUACAAUGAGCCCUCACACCACAAUGAAGAGUAGCCUCCACUCACAGCAACUAGAGAAAGCCCAUGUGCAGCAACGAAGACCCAAUGCAGCCAACAAAUAAAUAAAAUUAAUUAAUUAAUUUAAAAAAAUGGAUUAAAGACCUAAGUGUAAGACAGGAUACUAUAAAACUCUUCAAGGAAGAUACAGGAAGAAUCUUCUUUGACAUGAAUUGCAGCAAUAUCUUUUCCGAUCUGCCUCCUAGAGUAAUAGAAAUAAAAACAAAAAUAAACAGAUGGAACCUAAUUGAACUCAAAAGCUUUUGCAUAGCAAAGGAAACCAUAAAGAAAUGAAAAGACAACCCACAGAGUGGGAGAAAAUAUUUGCGAAGGAUGCUACAGACAAGGUCCAAAAUCUACAGACAGCUCAAUAUCAAAAAAACAAACAACCCAAUCAAAAAAUGGGCAGGAUACCUAAAAAGACAUUUCUCCAAAGAAGACACACAGAUGUCCAAGAGGCACAUGAAAAGAUGCUCAACAUUGCUAAUUAUUAGAGAAAUGCAAAUCAAAACUAUAAUGAGAUUACCACCUCACACCAGUCAGAAUGGCCAUCAUCAAAGAGUCUACAAACAACAAAUGCUGGAGAGGGUGUGGAGAAAAGGAACCCUCCUACACUGUUGGUGGGAAUAUAUGUUGGUGCAGCCACUAUGGAAAAAACUAAAAAUAGAGCUACCAUAAGAUCCAGCAAUCCCAUUCAAUCCCAUUGCUGGGUACAUAUCUGAGAAAACCAUGGUUCGAAAGGAUAGAUGCACCCCAGUGUUCAUUGCAACUGUUUACAAUAGCCAAGACAUGAAAGCAGCCAUCAGCAGACAAAUGGAUAAAGAAGAUGUGGUACAGAUAUACAAUGGAAUGUUACUCAGCCAUAAAAAGGAAUAAUGCCAUUUGCAGCAACAUGGAUAGACCUGGAGAUUAUCAUACUAAGCGAAGUAAGUCAGACAGAGAAAGCCAAAUAUCAUAUGGUAUCACUUAUAUGCAGAAUCUUUUAAAAAAUGAUACAAAUGAGCUGAUUUGCAAAACAGAAACACACAGACUUAGAAAACAAACUUAUGGUUACCAAAGGGAAAAGGUGGGGGAGGGGUAAAUUGGGAGUCUGGGAUUGACAUAUACACACUACUAUAUUUAAAAUGGACCUACUGUAUAGCACAGGGAAGUCUACCCAAUAUUCUGUAAUAACCUAAAUGGGAAAAGAAUUUGAAAAAGAAUACAUACAUGUAUAACUAAAUCACUUUGCUGUACACCUGAAAGUAACUUAACACUGUUAAUUCCCUAAUAUAAAAUAAAUUUUUUUAAAAUCAAUUAUUAUUUUGCAGGAGAAAACCCUAAUUAACACUGCUGUAUGUUACUUAUGAAAGUUGUUAAGAGAGUAAGUAAAUCCUAAGAGUUUUCACACCAAGGAAAAAAUAUUUUUUUUCUAUUUCUUUAGUUUUGUAUCUGUAAUGAGAUGGUGAAUGUUCACUAAACUUAUUGGGUUAAUCACUUCAUGACGUAUGUAAGUCAAAUCAUUGUGCCGUACACCUUAAACUUAUACAGUGCUGUAUGUCAAGUGUAUCUCAAUAAAACUGGAAAGAAUUAAAAAAAAAAAAACAAUGACUUUUUUUUUUUUUUGUGGAAGGAGAAUCCCAUCCUAAAAUUCAAAUUAGAAUCUCAACAGACCUUGAAUAACUGAAACAACGAAUAGAAUAGAGAGCCCAAAAGUAAACCCUUUGCUAUAUGGUCAAGUGAUUUUUUUUUUACUUGAGUGAAGAGGGAAAAGACCAUCCAAUGGGGAGAGGACAGCAUUUUCAGCAGAUAAUGCUAGGAAAUACAGUAUCCACAUGGAAAAGAAUGAAGCUGGACCCUUACCUGAUAUACAAAAAUUAACUCAGAAUAGCUCAAGCACCUAAAUGUAAGACCUACAACAAUAAAACUCUAGGAAGAAACCAGGACAAAAGUUUCAUGACAUUGGAUUUGGCAAUGAUUUCCUGGAUAUGACACCAAAAGCCCAGGUAACAAAACAAAACAAUAAAGACAAAUUGGACUGCUUGAAAUUAAAUUUGUGCAUCUAAAGACAUUAUCACCAGAGUAAAAAGGCAACACACAGAAUGUGAGAAAACAUUUGCAAAUAACAUACCUGA